GGAUGGCUUCAUAGCCGUGAUCUGGUGGUCGCCGGCUCGCCGAUCUCUGCUCCCGCGGCGGCGCCAUUGCUAGCGCCCCGUCGGCCGGCACCCUCCUCUCCGCCUCCGCCCCCACGCUCCGAAUCCAUGGAUGGCUACCACCGCACACUCCGCCCCCCGCACUCCAGCCGCCCUCCGCGCUCUUGCCCUUCCCCCCACCGGAGAAGGCGGCAACACUGCAAGCUAGGUAGCAGCGACGACCUUGCUACCGGCUCGCCUCAUCAGCCAUAGCGGCAGCCUCCCGAUCCCCCCAGGGUGAGCAUCCGAUCUUCGAUUUAAAUUAUUAUCACGGAUGAACGGCGACUGCCUGAUAGCUUCUUCAGUGAACUGAUAUUUCUCUUUAUAAAGCCGAACAGUUUCUGCAUGAGCAAGUAGUUGGUGAUGGCAUGCAGUGUAAGGCUCCCUUCCUGAAUCUCCAACUCUGCAUUUUCCCUUCUCCCAGGAUGAACACCGGCCUGGUGCCAUGGUGCCAGAUGCAUAGCCCAUAGAGCAGAAGUUCCAAGGCUCAUUGAAGUAGCUGAAAAGACUAUCACAAGGGAGCACUAUUGAGGCUGGUGUCAGUGGAAACAGGGGUUAAAUCCUGUCCAAAGCAAAACCCGUCCUGACUCCCUUUCCAAAAAUAGCAGUAAACAAUAUUCGCGACAAAAAUCGGAAAGAGAACUCCAAAAGCUGUUGGCAUUGAAAUUUCGGGUAUUCUAAUUGAUAUGCAUGAUGACGUUGACAAUAUUUUUAACUGAAGUAGGUAGCACGGUCCCUAGUAUUUUGAAGUUAGUGUUUAUUUAACAUGGUCAGCAAAAGGUACUGAAGAAUUGUUGACUUACAUGAUAUUAGGGCUAAGAAAUCCUUUAUAUUUAUCUUCCAGUGCCUGAGGUGUAUCAAAAUGGAAUAGGGUAGCAAAUGGUUGGACCUCUGCAAAUGUAUAAGAUUAUUUUGCAUCUUGAAUAAAGAAAUCUGGUUGUCAC
RNAcentral lists this small RNA (1001 nucleotides) under Oryza sativa Japonica Group (Japanese rice). RNAcentral's name for it is "sRNA Os04g0474432". The record is from RNAcentral. Lineage: Eukaryota; Viridiplantae; Streptophyta; Magnoliopsida; Poales; Poaceae.